AACAGUUUACUUGUAAUUAAAAUGUUGAGGUUGGUGGUUGAGGUUGUUAAAGAUCAUGGUGGCUUGUUUGGGGGUAUAAAGGUUGGUGAUAAGCAGAUGGUUUGGAUGAGUCAUGGUGAUGAGGCUGUGAAGUUGUCAGUAGGGUUCGAGGUGGUUGCGAGAAGUGAACAGGGUGGGAUUGCGGUAGUGGAGACUCAGGGCUGGUGGAUUUAGGGUUUAGGUUUUUAUUAAUUGCUUACGGUUUGUAUCUAAUAUAGCUUUUGGGGACUGAGAUGAAGUAUUUUGCAUGUAUAUAUUUGCAGCUGAAGUUUUCGUGGAUUACAGGAGCAAGUGUUGAUUACAUCUUCUGGAAGCCAUAAUUCAUUAGAAAAAUUACAUGACACUGAAUCUGCACUUCCUCCGCUAUCGAAGGCUAUUUGGGGACAAAGAAGUCACUUACAUUUCGCCUACAUAGCCGGUUUUAAAUGGCAUACUCGACUCAGAGCCGGACAAAACCAUUUCGUAUAUAGUAACUUGCCAUGUUGUAUAACUCGUAUGAAGACUGUCAUGAUCCUCCACGUCUGCACAAUGUUGACAAUUCUCUGAUUCAAAAGUUGGAUUUUUGAUUGCUCUGGACGGGCCAAAAAAGAAGAUAGAAGCGGCGUAUGCGGUGUGUCUUAUGACGGUUUGGAGAAUUCGGUUCGGGAGAAACGACAAAGUGUUUAAUAAUAUCUCUGUGGCUGCUCUAAAAAUGGUAGACGAUAUCAAGGAAGCUACUAUGUGGUGGGUGAUUAAAAGAUCCAAGGUGAAAGGUAUAAACCAAGAGAACUUGUAAAAUUUUGCUAAGGUCAAUUUCGGAUAAGUGGGCUGUAGUGCUGGGUUUUUCUUACUGUUUUGUUUACUAGGUCGGGUGUGUCAUGUUUGGUGGGGUUUUCUUUGUGGGUUGGACCUUGCAACAUAUGGGGUUUGUUUGUUUCUUUUUUCUUGUGAGGUAAGUUUAGCCUCUUGUUAAGCUGAUGUUUCCUUUGCUGUUUGGGGAGUGGUUUUAAUAAAGGUUGAUUUGGCU
This is a long non-coding RNA of Helianthus annuus (common sunflower), 1045 nucleotides long. RefSeq lists it as uncharacterized. NCBI's taxonomy places the organism in Eukaryota, Viridiplantae, Streptophyta, Magnoliopsida, Asterales, Asteraceae. The record is from RefSeq and is a predicted model, not a curated record. The transcript is spliced from 3 exons.